CUUAGUACUUUUACUAUCAUGAAUGUAAAUGAAACUGAUGUUUUGAUUAGAUCUAGACCUCCACCCUUUGAAGCAUACAAGAUAAACAAAAGUCCUUAAUCUCAAGGCAUAAAAAAGAACUUAAUGUGGACUUAACCCAUCCAUGACAAUCAUUUGAUAAUGAGAAGUUAGAGUAACUUGGGGCGCAAGUAAUCAGCUUAAAUACACUCAUUCUACAUCUGCCAUAUAGAGAUGGCAGUGGUACGCCUCAGCGCUUAGUUUUGAUUGUGAGCCUCACGGCCUACAC
This 286-nucleotide long non-coding RNA is filed under the name Malus domestica (apple). RNAcentral's name for it is "long non-coding RNA (MDOM_LNC004984)". The record is from RNAcentral. Lineage: Eukaryota; Viridiplantae; Streptophyta; Magnoliopsida; Rosales; Rosaceae.